This 586-nucleotide ribosomal RNA is filed under the name uncultured bacterium. Its description in RNAcentral is "bacterial SSU rRNA". It matches the Rfam family "Bacterial small subunit ribosomal RNA", at positions 338 to 941 of the family's 1533-position model. The record is from RNAcentral.
CCUACGGGAGGCAGCAGUGGGGAAUAUUGGACAAUGGGCGAAAGCCUGAUCCAGCAAUGCCGCGUGAGUGAUGAAGGCCUUCGGGUCGUAAAGCUCUUUUACCAGGGAUGAUAACGACAGUACCUGGAGAAUAAGCUCCGGCUAACUCCGUGCCAGCAGCCGCGGUAAUACGGAGGGAGCUAGCGUUGUUCGGAAUUACUGGGCGUAAAGAGUACGUAGGCGGUUAUUCAAGUCAGAGGUGAAAGCCCGGGGCUCAACCCCGGAACUGCCUUUGAAACUAGAUAACUAGAGUCUUGGAGAGGUUAGUGGAAUUCCGAGUGUAGAGGUGAAAUUCGUAGAUAUUCGGAAGAACACCAGUGGCGAAGGCGACUAACUGGACAAGUACUGACGCUGAGGUACGAAAGCGUGGGGAGCAAACAGGAUUAGAUACCCUGGUAGUCCACGCCGUAAACGAUGAUAACUAGUUGUUCGGUCACUUGGUGACUGAGUGACGCAGCUAACGCAUUAAGUUAUCCGCCUGGGGAGUACGGUCGCAAGAUUAAAACUCAAAGAUAAUAGACGNUGAGNCGACGAGCACAGGAGGUAG